UACGGAGGGAGCAAGCGUUGUUCGGAAUUACUGGGCGUAAAGGGCGAGUAGGUGGUUGACUAAGUCAGGUGUGAAAGCCCUCAGCUCAACUGAGGAAGCGCAUCUGAAACUGGUUAACUUGAGUACGGGAGAGGAGAGUGGAAUUCCUGGUGUAGAGGUGAAAUUAGGAGAUAUCAGGAGGAACAUCGGUGGCGAAGGCGACUCUCUGGACCGAUACUGACACUGAGACGCGAAAGCGUGAGGAGCAAACAGG
Molecule: ribosomal RNA, 253 nt
Filed under: uncultured bacterium
Lineage: Bacteria
Description: partial 16S ribosomal RNA
Rfam family: Bacterial small subunit ribosomal RNA
Source: RNAcentral